GGCCCCGGGCGAGCCCUCGGAGGCCGCUGCGGCGCGGGGCGCGUCGACCCCCGCAGGCCCCCAGGGCCCGGAGGCCUCCGAAAUUCGGCUCCGGGUCUGUGGGGGGCGAAAUGCAACCCACACCCCGUUUUACCGAACCCUGCGCAAAUAAAACACGCACAAGCACGCACACAGACGCCGCCGCGGCCCGGCCGGGGAAGAGCCGGGACCCGCCAGCGGCCGCCGCUCGAGAUCGGCCGCUGAGAGGUGCGACGAUUGCAGUGCGUUGAGGUCCGAGGUCCACCUGCCCGUCAGCUCUUCCAGGCCAGCACCGUCAUCUGACGACUCCCAGGUUUGCGCGGGAUUAGGGUCCCACCUCUCUAAAUGCGAAUCAGUGAAGGCACGAGUGAAUGGGAUUUUCAGGAUUCAGUGUAACGCCCUCUCUGCCAAAGAAUGCAGAAUCCAGAAUUGGCAAAAAAAAAAAAAAAAAGUAUGCUGGAUCUCAGCCAUAAGUGUACCUUUUAGGAGCUCCCCCUGUUAAGAGUGGAAACACUAAAACAAGAUGUCUCUCUGUAGUGAUUCCAGCAGUGUGGAUGCCUGGCUGGAAGAGUGCAGGAUAGGAAGCUGGAAGACCAGGGCACUUGAUGUUGUCUGGCUCUGCCUCACAUACCCAGGAUUCCAGACUCUAAAGACCAGAGGCCGGGAAGUGGUUUCAUUCCAGCUUCCUCCUGAUCUGGGGUCUUCUACAUCCAUCAGCAUUUAAAAAAUAUUUUAUAAGCUCAUCAUCUUCAAUUUGACAUGUAUUUUUGAGUACGAGCUUUAUUCAAAGAACCACAUUGGAAACAAAUACAAAGAGCACAUGACAGGCCCACCCUAACAGAAGACUGACAGCGGCUGAUUUCUGACCUAUUACAGCAUCUCUCUUCACUUGUAACAAUACAGCCCGGUAUUCUGGGCUCACUUCCAUCUAGUGACUCCUUUUACCUCAGGACAAGCAAGGAGGCAGGUUAUCACUCUGAACAACAGUUGUCAGUGAUGGAGAGACUGAACUGAAAACAUACCUGGACAUACCUCAGAAAUGGUAUUAAUAACAUUUUUGUCAUCUGAUGUUUUCUUCUAACACUGUUUCUAAGAGUGGGAGCCCAUCAAUUUAUCCCAGUUACUCAAGGUUGUACCGAACCCUCCCUUUUCUUGUUCUUUAAAACCCUCUCAUUUUGAUAUUCUUUCAUAACAGGUCCUUAUUUUACCCAGUGGAAAGCAAAACUUAAUAUUCUUAGAAUAAAAGUUUUUCUGUAAAAGAAUAGAUAGAUACUUGCCGGACUCCACCUACAAAUGUCAUUGUUACUAUUACCAUGUUGGUUAUGAUCCCAAGCAAUAAAUAGAAAAUACGGAGAUUUUAUAUUUACUGAAGUCCCAAGGAAGCAGUUUGCUGGGAAAACAAGUUCCAUAAAUAAUGACAUUUAAGGAAGAACCCACUAAGAAGCAUUAUGAGAAAUGGCAACACUCUUUGGGUGCCACAAGCAGGUUAGCCAGGGUGAGUACUUCUGCCAUUGGAGAUGAAAUAAACUGAAUCACUUUAAAAUUAUUCCUGGCUAAGUUAAAAUUAUGCUGAUUUAACCUAAUUCACUUGGAAUACAACACAAUUGGGAUAUAAUUAAUCUUUCCUCCUGUUUUAGUUGCUAAGGAGAGAAAACAGUUCUGCUUUGUGUACCUUUACCCCAAACUUUCUUGGAAGUCUUAACUUUUUAAGUCUUUCUUUAUAAUUUCAAUCAAAUUAUAACUUUCAUAACUUUAGUUCUUCCAUUAUAUACCAAUAUAUAUUUGCUCCAAGAAUACUUUGGUUUCAACCAUGACUUUUAUACUUCUAUCAAGCAGAUCUCUAUAUCCCAUCUUCACCAAUUUUCUGGACCUGAACUUAGAAAAGGGCAUUUCUGGUCUACCAUCUCCCUGCACACACAGGUGAAUUACAGUAUUAUUCAGCUUUGAUUAUGUAAUUUUCAAGUUUUCUGUAUACGUUAACAAACUUUAUAUUUUCUAAAUGUUUUUAAACUCAAUUUUCUUUAAAUAACCAAGUGUUGAAAACUUUACAAAAAUGUUAAUCAUCUUAAAAUGGUCAAAGUUUUCUUUUUCUUCCUCAAAGCGUCUAAUAGGCAUGUGUGGGUCUUCUGUAGACACACCUGUUUUUAUCUCGAGGGAUAUGUGACUAAUUCUCCCUCUAGUCAACUUUUUUCAAACAGGGCCAGUCUAUAUUAGUGUGAUGAUGCUAAUUUACAAAAUAUCUUGAGUAAAUAAAGGGAGAUGUAAAA
Long non-coding RNA from Canis lupus familiaris (dog), 2285 nucleotides. RefSeq lists it as uncharacterized. NCBI's taxonomy places the organism in Eukaryota, Metazoa, Chordata, Mammalia, Carnivora, Canidae. The record is from RefSeq and is a predicted model, not a curated record. The transcript has 8 exons.